RNAcentral lists this unclassified non-coding RNA (1409 nucleotides) under Leishmania donovani. RNAcentral describes it as "gene:LdHU3.03.0250(CDS-product:ribosomal_protein_ L38_putative)". Lineage: Eukaryota; Euglenozoa; Kinetoplastea; Trypanosomatida; Trypanosomatidae. The record is from RNAcentral.
GCAGAGCGCUUCGUUCUCCCCUCUCGAGCACCCUUUUCCGUUUUCCGUCGCCUCCCUCUCUUCAGCCAUGCCGCGUGAGAUUAAGACCCUGAAGGAGUUUCUCGCCAUCUGCUCCCGCAAGGAUGCGCGGUGCGUGAAGGUGAAGCACAACCCCAGCGCCACCAAGUUCAAGGUCCGCUGCAGCCGCUACCUCUACACGCUGGUCGUGAACGACAAGAAGAAGGCCGACAAGAUCGAGCGCUCCAUCCACCCGUCCGUGAAGAAGAUCGCCGUGACGGCCCGCUCGCACGCCAAGACGAACGCCGGCUCCAAGCAGUAAGAAGACGCCGCAACGAUGGCAUAGCUGGUACCGUCGUCGUCGCGCCACACGCGCUCACAGGCAGACCGAAACACGCACACAUGCGCGGGGAGAAGGGGGUUGUGGCACUCGUUGUCUGCGGCAGUGCCUGCCCGCGCUCUCUUCUCCAUCAUUUUUUUUUCUCGUGCGCGCGCGUGCGUGUGUGCGUGGGUGAUCGCCGCGGCGGAAGGAAGCCAGGCUUGGUCGGCCUGGCCGCUUUCCAGGCUCGGGAAACAGCGCUCUAUUAUGGAAGCAAGUUGGCGGCGAGGCAGGCAAGGACGGGACGGGAGGAGACGCACACCCGCCCCUAUGUCUGCCUGCCCCUCUUGCGUACAGUUGUUUUCGUUUUUCAUUUUCGUGUUUUUUUUCUUGGUGGAGCGAGCGGGGGUGGGGAAGGGGCAUGAACGUUUGCGCUCGUGAGCGUGUAUGUGCCCUCGUAAACGGAAGGGAGGACGGUGCGGCGGCGGCGUGGCGGCGCGAGCGCGUGCGCGUGCGCGUGAGCAGCAGCGCCCUCCUCCCUUUCCUCGCACACGCAUACACGCAGCCAUGCGUGCGCACUCAAGUGUGCAUCCUCGUCGUUCUACGCAAAGGAAGACAGCAAAUUCAAGCAUCGCAACCGGAGCACCAGAAUAACAACCGAUCCGUUGAGUCGGACGUGUCAUGAGUGGCGCGUGCCUCCCUCAGGCGGCCACCUCUCGCGCUGGUGAACUCGGUCAUCGCUGUGGGUGGCCUGGGCAGACACGGAAACGAAAGCAGCGGCGUGUCUCUCUCUCUCUCUUAGGUAUGGGAGCGUUCAAGGGUGGGUUGUCGUGGCUGAUGUGCGCAUGUGUGCAUGUGCCGCUCUGGAAGCACACACAUACACAUACCGGCACACCAGUGCGCUCGGUCUGAGACGGCAUCCUCGCAAUUCUCUCUCUCUGGUUACACCUAUGCGUCUGCACUGGCCGGUGCUACGCCGUCACCGUCGAAGCUUCCGCGACGUUGAGUCACUGCUCACAUACACACACACACACACGCCCCCUCCCCUCCCCUUCCCUCCCCUCUCUUGUUGUCGUCUCUCUCCACACCUCAG